This 748-nucleotide long non-coding RNA is filed under the name Ursus maritimus (polar bear). RNAcentral's name for it is "lncRNA (ENSUMAG00000010629.1)". The record is from RNAcentral. Lineage: Eukaryota; Metazoa; Chordata; Mammalia; Carnivora; Ursidae.
GUCAAAUAGCAGCCAAUUCCACGCGAGCUCUGGCGGCCAGGCCCCGCCCCCCUGACCUCACGUGGCCCCGCAUGAGGUUGCUACUUGCCUGCUCCAGGACCGAGCAGCACUGGGAGUUCUGCCCAGCUCAGCACUUCGUUAUACUGUGGAAGCAGGAAGGAACUGGCCAGCAGGCAUUCCCAAGAGAACACUCAGAGGGACGCUGGUCCAGUGGACUGACAGGCGGCAGAUGCAAAUGGGAACUGAGGUGGAAGCCGAGGACUGAGGACUUCGAGGGCAUCCCCAGGACUCCAUGCUGGAUACCUUCACUGACUGACGGGAGGGAGCGGGUUUGUAGGUAAUUACGGAAGCUCUAGGGACCGAUGAAAUAGAUGCGAAGACCUCUCGAAGCCCAAGGUGGUGAGGGAAUUAGGAGCCCUACUACGGUGAAGGAAAGACUAGGUGGGCCCUAACUGUUGACACUGUAGCAUCUGGAAACUGCAUGAACAAAGGCCAUUCACUACAGCAAGGUACAAAAUUAACCACUCAAAUUUCAACAGGAAAUAUACAGGAUCGCCUGGGUGGCUCAGCUGGUUGAGCAUCUGCCUUUGGCUCGGCUCAUGAUCCCAGAGUCCUGGGAUCAAGCCCCAAUCAGGCUCCUUGCUCAGUGGGGAGCCUGCUUCUCCCUCUCCCUUUGCUGCUCCCCCUGCUUGUGUUCUCCCUCUCUCUCUCUCUCUCAAAUAAAUAAAUAAAAUCUUAAAAAAGAGCA